UUGCCAGAAUAAAUCACCCAAAAUAAUAUCUAUCUAUCUAUCAUUAUUGUUGGCUUUUCGCAAAAAUGCAUAAACAUGAAUAAGCGAAAAAAUCUGCGAAAUAAAACAGCCAAGUCAUUCAUAACAACAUAUUCACAUAAACUUCUAUAAGUACCAAAAAUGUGCUAUAGUAAAUAACGUUUACAAAUCUCCAACGUUUAUACAUCAACGGGUGUCUCUUUAAAAUAGGGUAACAUCACAUUACAUUCCCGAACGCUCGCGCCCGCGCUUAUACAUCCUUCUCUACUGGUGUCCGUUAAAUUAGUCAUAUUAUUCAACGCGGAACUUAAUGCGAAACACCUGCUUCAAUUGAGGGAAGUUCACCGGUGUUAUUUGAAGACCGGAGAUGCAGCAUUCCAGUGCGCGCGCGCUGAAAACGGUCCCUCUUUCCUUUAAAUGGUAGUCGAGACGUUUGCAUUGGCUGCUGAACCAAAUAAGGCUCGCAGUCCCUUACACAGCAAAUAUUCUGCUGAUUUUAUGGAGAUUAAUCAGUGUGUAAUGCAAUGGCUGUGGUUUACAUCAGCGAUGAGCUGCGCGGAACAAAGACAGCUUGCUUCCCAUUUUUACAACCCACUGCAGAAGAAAAGGAGGCGGGAGUCUACACCGGGGGUCUCCGUCGUUGUUAUGAUCGGUCAAGGCCGAGUGACAACUUCUUUUCUUUAAGCGAAAACAAGCCCUGCCUGACCCCUCCUCCCCCCGGGAUCGCAGUGCAUCCCACUACUACCAAACACACACUCAAACUAUUGUCAAUGCUGCACAACAGGAUGUGGUAACCGUGCGUUUUAAAGGGAGUGUGUUUUCAGCUGAAGUAAACCCAAGCAGGCAUGCGGUCGAGUUUUUUUUCUCUCCCUGUAAGUGAUAUUUGCCAAUACUUUUAUUUUUUUUUGACACAAAACCUCCAAGUACCUGGUAGUUGUGAAAUAGCCCACGCAAGAACGCAAGUUUGGCGCUCCGUUUCUAUUUACGACAGACGAAUCACAUGUAACGCACAGGACGCAUCGAGCAAAAAUAAUCAUGCAACUCACCUUCAGCCUAGUUUUUUUUUUUUCUUCCUUGUGAUCCAGCCCUCUUGUCCGUUUAGCAAAUAAUAGUUUUUCACAUGAUGACUUCCUUGCAGACUCCUAAAGCGCCAGGGCUGCAGGGAGAUCACGUUUGUGGUGCACUCUGUCAAGAUUUCUUUUUCUUUAGGAGGGAAAAAGCACGUUUAUGGUUGUAAAAGUGUUUGUAAAAUGUGUGUAAAUGGUUGUGCGGUGAUCUCUGCAGCGUGCGGCUCCGUCUCCUCUGUUUGUUACACUCGAAUGAAACGCCUACUCUCAAUCGCUACAUUGUUGACAUUCGCGCGCUGACGUCAUCCCAUCCCUCAUUCACAACAUAGCGCGCGCUGCGCAUUGCGUUGCUGCCUCCAGCGGCAAAUACGCGCGCAGCCGCGGUUCGCGAAUUGAGAGUAGCGGGGACAGCCGAUGACUGUUCCGUGGCCAGUUACACCAGGACAAGCUGAUCCUAAACGACGACUCAGAAUCAGACCCGCAUCUUGAGAAACUUUUAAGAACAAUACAAACAAAUUGAAAAUAAACGGCCGUUUGAAAUGCGUAGGACUGAACAGACUACUGACCUGUUAGUUAUGAACUCUCGUUUUCUACUAUGCUGUAAUUGAACUUUUUGCAGUAUCAAAUGUAUUUAUUAAAAAAAAUGUUUUAUAUUUG
This is a long non-coding RNA of Carassius gibelio (silver crucian carp), 1742 nucleotides long. RefSeq lists it as uncharacterized. Lineage: Eukaryota; Metazoa; Chordata; Actinopteri; Cypriniformes; Cyprinidae. The record is from RefSeq and is a predicted model, not a curated record. The transcript has 2 exons.